GGUGGUGGUGACAUUUGCAGUGGGCUCUGAGGUCGGCCUGCAGAGCAGCAGUGACUUCAGUCAGAUGGGGAAACCUUUCCUAAUGGGCACCGUGGCUCUAGGGGGGAUUGUGAAUGUGAUGCCUCUUCUUUUUUCUCACAUCUCACACAACAAAACACAGAUCCUUUGGUUUCGGAGAGCAGUUCUUGGAGGCCUGGCUACCUGUACAGUCCUCAACAUUCUCUGGUAAAAGGACAACAGUAGAAAUCUAUCUAGUUGUUAUUCAAACACAGAUGCAACUUCUAAUCUAAUGUGUUAAAAUGCUAGAAAUGUGUUAAAAACACUGAAAUAAGCGGAUGAAAUGUGGUUGAGUGCAAGGAUUGUGAGAUCUGUGUUGCGAACUGAAAGCACAGAAACAGGUAGUGCUAAAGAAAAGCUUCUUCCUGCAGUUUUUCAGCUUUCCUCAGGAUCAGUCAACCACCAAACACCCAGAGUGUUUAACAACUAAA
Molecule: long non-coding RNA, 488 nt
Organism: Cyprinodon variegatus (sheepshead minnow)
Lineage: Eukaryota; Metazoa; Chordata; Actinopteri; Cyprinodontiformes; Cyprinodontidae
Exons: 3
Source: RefSeq, a predicted model, not a curated record